This 301-nucleotide ribosomal RNA is filed under the name uncultured bacterium. RNAcentral describes it as "partial 16S ribosomal RNA". It matches the Rfam family "Archaeal small subunit ribosomal RNA", at positions 459 to 760 of the family's 1478-position model. The record is from RNAcentral.
CAGUAGCCGCGGUAACACCAGCACCUCGAGUGGUCAGGAGGUUUAUUGGGCCUAAAGCAUCCGUAGCCGGUUGCAUAAGUUUUCGGUUAAAUCUAUGCGCUUAACGUAUAGGCCGCCGAAAAUACUGUGCAGCUAGGGAGUGGGAGAGGUACACGGUACUCGAUAGGAAGGGGUAAAAUCCUUUGAUCUAUUGAUGACCACCUGUGGCGAAGGCGGUGUACCAGAACACGUUCGACGGUGAGGGAUGAAAGCUGGGGGAGCAAACAGGAUUAGAUACCCCCGUAGUCCCUGUCUCUUAUAC